GCCUUUUGGCUAAGAUCAAGUGUAGUA
This 27-nucleotide non-coding RNA is filed under the name Oryctolagus cuniculus (rabbit). RNAcentral also lists the same sequence under 3 other names. The record is from RNAcentral. Lineage: Eukaryota; Metazoa; Chordata; Mammalia; Lagomorpha; Leporidae.